RNAcentral lists this ribosomal RNA (398 nucleotides) under uncultured bacterium. RNAcentral's name for it is "partial 16S ribosomal RNA". It matches the Rfam family "Bacterial small subunit ribosomal RNA", at positions 523 to 918 of the family's 1533-position model. The record is from RNAcentral.
AUACGUAGGGUGCGAGCGUUGUCCGGAAUUACUGGGCGUAAAGAGCUCGUAGGUGGUUUGUCGCGUCGUCUGUGAAAUUCCGGGGCUUAACUCCGGGCGUGCAGGCGAUACGGGCAUAACUUGAGUACUGUAGGGGAGACUGGAAUUCCUGGUGUAGCGGUGAAAUGCGCAGAUAUCAGGAGGAACACCGGUGGCGAAGGCGAGUCUCUGGGCAGUAACUGACGCUGAGGAGCGAAAGCAUGGGUAGCGAACAGGAUUAGAUACCCUGGUAGUCCAUGCCGUAAACGGUGGGCGCUAGGUGUAGGGGUCUUCCACGACUUCUGUGCCGUAGCUAACGCAUUAAGCGCCCCGCCUGGGGAGUACGGCCGCAAGGCUAAAACUCAAAGGAAUUGACGGGG